AGUCACCAGCUCAACCAGGGAAGGAAACGCACCACCCUGCUAGCCCUGCUUCAGCCUUGGGUGAGGCUGUGAAGGCUGGUGGUAAGCCGAUGAAAGAUAAUCCAAAGAAAUGAAAGUGAGGGUGAUGAGUAGGAGAGCGGUUUGGGGCUGAGGGUACGAAGAUGCCAUGAUGACUGACUUAACCACAUCAAACUAAACCAUGUCUCCUACUACAAUUCACCAGCCUGAAAUUGUGAGAGGAUCUCGGGCGCGGAGAUUUCGCUGGCUAAGGGGCACCCUGUGUGCCUACAAGAGGAGGUGGGAGGGAAGUUAACCUUGCGUUGUCCUCCAGGGCGCAAAUCCAAAAGUGGGAAAAAGGGGAAGUUCUUUGAUCUGAAGUAGAAAAAGUCGGGGAGAGAAGGAGAAACACCCAGAAUGGCAACAAAUUUGAUGAAAUCAGAGGGACAAAAAGAAGAGAAGGGUAUUAAGAUCAGAUCUUCUGAAGGGCAGAGAACUAUAAUGACACAGUUGCUUUAUUGCUGGACCCAGGACAGUUUAUACAGCAGUUCGGAAAGGCCUCUUGAGGGGUUAUCUGUGUCAGCCCAGCCUAGCAUCGAUAGAAACAUGAAUCUCUGGGAAAUUAUCUUGUGCCUCAGACUUCAAAGUACAUAGAGAUUUG
RNAcentral lists this long non-coding RNA (658 nucleotides) under Homo sapiens (human). RNAcentral's name for it is "HSALNT0362231". The record is from RNAcentral. Lineage: Eukaryota; Metazoa; Chordata; Mammalia; Primates; Hominidae.